RNAcentral lists this ribosomal RNA (497 nucleotides) under uncultured bacterium. RNAcentral's name for it is "partial 16S ribosomal RNA". It matches the Rfam family "Bacterial small subunit ribosomal RNA", at positions 28 to 507 of the family's 1533-position model. The record is from RNAcentral.
GAUGAACGCUGGCGGCGUGCCUAAUACAUGCAAGUCGAGCGAACAGACGAGGAGCUUGCUCCUCUGACGUUAGCGGCGGACGGGUGAGUAACACGUGGAUAACCUACCUAUAAGACUGGGAUAACUUCGGGAAACCGGAGCUAAUACCGGAUAAUAUAUUGAACCGCAUGGUUCAAUAGUGAAAGACGGUUUUGCUGUCACUUAUAGAUGGAUCCGCGCCGCAUUAGCUAGUUGGUAAGGUAACGGCUUACCAAGGCGACGAUGCGUAGCCGACCUGAGAGGGUGAUCGGCAACACUGGAACUGAGACACGGUACAGACUCCUACGGGAGGCAGCAGUAGGGAAUCUUCCGCAAUGGGCGAAAGCCUGACGGAGCAAAGCCGCGUGAGUGAUGAAGGUCUUCGGAUCGUAAAACUAUGUUAGUAGGGAAGAACAAAUGUGUAAGUAACUAUGCACGUAUUGACGGUACCUAAUCAGAAAGCCACGGCUAACUACGUG